UGCCAGCCGCCGCGGUAAUACGGAGGGGGUUAGCGUUGUUCGGAAUUACUGGGCUUAAAGGGUUCGUAGGCGGUUUUGUAAGUCAGGGGUGAAAGUCGGUGGCCCAACCAUCGAAUUGCCUUUGAUACUGCAUCACUUGAGUGUGUUAGGGGAGAGCGGAACGUGUAGUGUAGCGGUGAAAUGCGUAGAUAUUACACGGAAGGCCGGAGCCGAAGGGGGCUCUCUGGGACACAACUGACGCUGAGGAACGAAAGCGUGGGGAGCAAACAGGAUUAGAUA
RNAcentral lists this ribosomal RNA (279 nucleotides) under uncultured bacterium. Its description in RNAcentral is "partial 16S ribosomal RNA". It matches the Rfam family "Bacterial small subunit ribosomal RNA", at positions 506 to 784 of the family's 1533-position model. The record is from RNAcentral.